RNAcentral lists this ribosomal RNA (861 nucleotides) under uncultured bacterium. Its description in RNAcentral is "bacterial SSU rRNA". It matches the Rfam family "Bacterial small subunit ribosomal RNA", at positions 80 to 916 of the family's 1533-position model. The record is from RNAcentral.
UUAGGUAAAAGGAUAGUGGCGGACGGGUGAGUAACGCGUGGGUAACCUGCCCAACAGACCGGGACAACACUUGGAAACGGGUGCUAAUACCGGAUAAGCUUUUUUUCCGGCAUCGGAGAGAAAGGAAAGGCGGCCUCUAUUUAUAAGCUGCCGUUGUUGGAUGGACCCGCGUCUGAUUAGCUGGUUGGUGGGGUAAAGGCCUACCAAGGCGACGAUCAGUAGCCGGCCUGAGAGGGUGAACGGCCACACUGGGACUGAGACACGGCCCAGACUCCUACGGGAGGCAGCAGUGGGGAAUCUUCCGCAAUGGACGCAAGUCUGACGGAGCAACGCCGCGUGUAUGACGAAGGCCUUCGGGUUGUAAAAUACUGUCUUUGGGGACGAAUGUUAGUUAUGAAAAUAUUGUAGCUAAAUGACGGUACCCGAGGAGGAAGCCCCGGCUAACUACGUGCCAGCAGCCGCGGUAAUACGUAGGGGGCGAGCGUUGUCCGGAAUCAUUGGGCGUAAAGGGCGCGUAGGCGGAUAGUUAAGUCCGAUGUGAAAUACCAAGGCUCAACCUUGGGGCUGCAUCGGAAACUGGUUAUCUUGAGGACAGGAGAGGAAAGUGGAAUUCCUAGUGUAGCGGUGAAAUGCGUAGAUAUUAGGAGGAACACCAGUGGCGAAGGCGACUUUCUGGACUGUAACUGACGCUGAGGCGCGAAAGCGUAGGGAGCAAACAGGAUUAGAUACCCUGGUAGUCCACGCCGUAAACGAUGAGUGCUAGGUGUAGAGGGUAUCGACCCCUUCUGUGCCGCAGUUAACACAAUAAGCACUCCGCCUGGGGAGUACGGCCGCAAGGUUGAAACUCAAAUGAAUUGACGG